AGCAUACAAGGCAUACGGCUCAGUAACGCGUAGUCAACCUAACCUAUGGACGGGAAUAACCUCGGGAAACUGAGAAUAAUGCCCGAUAGAACAUUAUGCCUGGAAUGGUUUAUGUUCCAAAUGAUUUAUCGCCGUAGGAUGGGACUGCGGCCUAUCAGUUUGUUGGUGAGGUAAUGGCCCACCAAGACUAUUACAGGUACGGGCUCUGAGAGGAGUAGCCCGGAGAUGGGUACUGAGACACGGACCCAGGCCCUAUGGGGCGCAGCAGGCGAGAAAACUUUGCAAUGUGCGAAAGCACGACAAGGUUAAUCCGAGUGGUUUCUGCUAAAGAAACCUUUUGUCAGUCCUAGAAACACUGAUGAAUAAGGGGUGGGCAAGUUCUGGUGUCAGCCGCCGCGGUAAAACCAGCACCUCAAGUGGUCAGGAUGAUUAUUGGGCCUAAAGCAUCCGUAGCCGGCUCUGUAAGUUUUCGGUUAAAUCUGUACACUCAACGUACAGGCUGCCGGGAAUACUGCAGAGCUAGGGAGUGGGAGAGGUAGACGGUACUCGGUAGGAAGGGGUAAGAUCCUUUGAUCUAUUGAUGACCACCUGUGGCGAAGGCGGUCUACCAGAACACGUCCGACGGUGGGGGAUGAAAGCUGGGGGAGCAAACCGGAUUAGAUACCCGGGUAGUCCCAGCUGUAAACUAUGCAAACUCAGUGAUGCAUUGGCUUGUGGCCAAUGCAGUGCUGCAGGGAAGCCGUUAAGUUUGCCGCCUGGGAAGUACGUACGCAAGUAUGAAACUUAAAGGAAUUGGCGGGGGAGCACCACAAGGGGUGAAGCCUGCGGUUCAAUUGGAGUCAACGCCGGG
RNAcentral lists this ribosomal RNA (850 nucleotides) under uncultured crenarchaeote. RNAcentral's name for it is "bacterial SSU rRNA". It matches the Rfam family "Archaeal small subunit ribosomal RNA", at positions 71 to 922 of the family's 1478-position model. Lineage: Archaea; Thermoproteati; Thermoproteota. The record is from RNAcentral.